AACGAACGCUGGCGGCGUGGAUAAGACAUGCAAGUCGAACGGGACAACAUCUGUAGCAAUACAGGUGUUGUUUAGUGGCGAACGGGUGCGUAACACGUGGGCAAUCUGCCGAGAAGUGGGGGAUAGCUCGCCGAAAGGCGAAUUAAUACCGCAUAUGAUCAGUGAAGACAUCUUCACGACAUCAAAGCCGGGGCAACUUGGCGCUUCUUGAUGAGCCCGCGGCCUAUCAGCUAGUUGGUGAGGUAACGGCUCACCAAGGCUAUGACGGGUAGCUGGUCUGAGAGGACGACCAGUCACACUGGAACUGAGACACGGUCCAGACACCUACGGGUGGCAGCAGUCGAGAAUUUUUCUCAAUGGGGCAACCCUGAAGGAGCGACGCCGCGUGGAGG
Molecule: ribosomal RNA, 392 nt
Filed under: uncultured bacterium
Lineage: Bacteria
Description: bacterial SSU rRNA
Rfam family: Bacterial small subunit ribosomal RNA
Source: RNAcentral